CAAAGGGCGAUUUAAUUUAUGACUCCAGCCUUGGGGUCUUGGGGAUGGGAGUUUAAUUUUCCCCCCUAAUU
RNAcentral lists this transfer RNA (71 nucleotides) under Eurypharynx pelecanoides (pelican eel). RNAcentral's name for it is "tRNA-Pro". Lineage: Eukaryota; Metazoa; Chordata; Actinopteri; Anguilliformes; Eurypharyngidae. The record is from RNAcentral.